This 383-nucleotide long non-coding RNA is filed under the name Citrus sinensis (sweet orange). RNAcentral describes it as "long non-coding RNA (CSIN_LNC003681)". The record is from RNAcentral. Lineage: Eukaryota; Viridiplantae; Streptophyta; Magnoliopsida; Sapindales; Rutaceae.
UGGUGUAAUGAAGCGCCUUUCUACACUCUUGGUCCAUUGACAACUGAUAUUGCUCCUGGUUAUGAUCACAUCACCUCAGCCAUAGGGGCUGCCAACAUUGGGGCUCUAGGCACUGCACUUCUCUGUUAUGUAACGCCAAAAGAACACCUUGGAUUGCCAAAUAGGGAUGAUGUGAAGGCUGGGGUUAUAGCAUAUAAGAUAGCUGCUCAUGCCGCCGAUUUAGCCAAAGGCCACCCACUUGCUCAGACAUGGGAUGAUGCAUUAAGCAAGGCAAGAUUUGAAUUCCGAUGGAUGGACCAAUUUGCAUUGUCUUUGGACCCCAUGACUGCAAUGUCCUUCCAUGAUGAAACCCUGCCAUCAGAAGGUGCAAAAGUUGCACAUUU